CGCCGCCAUGUCUGGCACUAAUGUAUGACAGUGGCGCGGCUCCGCUCCUGCAGCCAGCGCGUACGCGGAAACCUUGGCAACGGUGGCAGGCUGGGAGGAGAGCAGGAGAAGCCCCCUGGUGUGGGACAGACACCAGGAGACGUUCUGAAGAAGGACUCAUCUGUCUUGGGGGCUGGGAUGGAUUAACCUGCCAGAAGCCCUCAGGGCAAAAUUGAUCUGCUGGGCCCCAUAAGCCUUUCUUCUCUCAAGUCAGUUUUAAUGAAAGGAUCACUUUUUACAAAAAUGUGAAGCAAUUCCUGCCAGACUUGACCCCUGGAUGCACUGAAGGUGACAUACUGUGCUGCUGAAUCACUAUAACAUUUGAAUGAAUCACUUUGACAUUUUGGAGGAUUGACUGCUCAUUAAUCGAGUCAGACAACAACUAUUUAAAGAGAGAGAGAGCUAUCUGCAAUAGAAAAAUGGUAUUUACUACUUUUUCUGACUUAAAGAUAUCUUAAAUGACCCUUUAAAGGGGAAAUAUGCUAUUUUGACUUGCUUUUAGCACCCCCUAUUGUCCGUUUGUAGAACCAAAAGCAAAAUCUAUCUCCUUGAUGUAAGUUAGACUUUUAACAUCGUAAUCUAGUAGCUGAAAUUACUCCCCAGCCUUCAUUAGCGUCUACAGAAGCCGUCCAGCAGGGUGAUAUGAGCUGGGUGGCCUUUCAUUAACCAUGUAAAGGAUCAUUUUAGCAAAUACUGACUCAAUAAAAUGAUUUUGAAAAAUGAAAAAAAUUGCAGUUGAUCUCUUUAAGGAUCAAUCUUUCAUAUAAUCUGCAAUUUUUUUGUUUGUUUUUACAAUCCAUGCAAUACACAAUAAGCAUGGAGUUUGGGUUUCUUGCAAAAGUUUGCUCCUUUGCUUAGGGAAUAAUUUACUUUCUCACAGACUGGUGUACAAAGUUGAAGCACACCCACAAUUUCAAUCUCUGCUUUCAGGUUUUCAGUUUUCACCUUUUGUUAUUGUGGCCUGAAACUGCUGCAUCAGCCUUUCACCACCAACACAAAGACAAGUCAUCCAAUAGCACUGUUCCUGGCCUGUUGUUGCACUUGUUGCAUUGUUCUCUGGACAGAUGCUAUAGUGUUGUAUUGAGAAAGCAUGUGACAGUGGUGGUCAUGGUGGGAAGCGAAUUUAGCUAUACCAGCUUCUUGGUUCUCCACUUGGUGGGUAACUGCACAAGAAGGGGAAGCAGUUAGGGAUUAAUGCACUCCCUGGUCAGGUAUCAAACAAUGAGCUCUUUGUUUUCUACUUACCUGCAGCAGGAAAACACACCUUUCUGGUAAUGUAACAGAAGCACUGCUCAGUUUUCUCCCGGGUUGCAGGACAAUGAUCCACAUGAACACAGAACAUGCUGAGCUGUACCUCUUUGGAUUAUCCAAGGUACAGAAUGUUUUAAAUGAGAUAUUGAAAUUGAAUGGAAACAUAGAAUUUUAACCUAUUGAUCACAGACACCAGUUAUUCUUAACUAUUUUCAAAUCAAAUGAAAAUAGCCAAAGGCAAAAGUAUACAGUAUACGCAAGCUUCUCUGUCGUUAAUUCUCCUGUCAGAGUAAAAUCAUUUGGAUUUGAUUUUGAAACCUACUUUGGGGGAUUUUAAAAGGAUACUUUGCAACUUGUUCAUAUUUUUAAAUAAUUUUCUUGAGCCAGUAUGUGCUAAAAGGACCCUUUACGGGUUAAUGAAAGGUCAGACGUGGCCAGAAUAUUCCAAUUGCAAAUACAGACUGGCGGGCUGCUCUCUUCAUUUCAAUCCAAUUCAAGUUAAUUUAAAUAGCGCCAAAUCACGACAAUUCAAUUCAAUUCAAAGAUACUUUAUUAAUCCCAGAGGGCAAUUAGAGUUUCAGUACACACAAUUCUGAGAUCAGACAUACAUACAUAGGCAUUGACACAUGACAAGAAUUGGUUACUGUGGUCAUUCGCAACCCAAGUCGCGCUACCUUAAUAGAGAUCAGAGGGUUUAUAUGAGGAUUGAGUCAGAUGGAGGAAAAAAGCACUUCAGAGUUACCCUCCACAGGGAGGGCAGCUUUGCUAUGCAAAAAACCCCACCUCAGACAGAAAUGCAACAGACUUCAGACAUUACACAACAUAAAUGUCCACUAGGUGGGGAGGUAGGGUUGGGGUCUCUCCACACAUCAGUGCAUGCAGCCACGAUAAGCAGUGCUUGUCACCUUUGUUUGGACAGGGGAGGGAGGUCGUUGGGUUUAGAAAGCACAGCGACUCCUGGAAACGGUUCAACGGCCUUCACCGGUCGCAGUCUUGCCCAGGCUGGGAUAGAGAGACAGAGUUGCCAUGGCGACGGCGGCAUUCCACAUUUCUUCUGAGGGGGAGUAAUCACUUCAGCCUCACAGGUUCAAGAGCACCAGAUUCAGAUAAGAACUUGUUUUGGGGCCAGACAGAGAUAAUUCCCUCUCUGUCUUAAAGUUUUGUUGGUCCUCAACCUCUCUAAAUCCAAUAAUGGUGUAAUUAAUCUAUCCCAAUCCGUGCUGACCCGUCAACUUUCUCCUUGAUCAAAUCCACCUUCUGUGCCAGAGUCUGAAUCUCAGCCAAAAUUCCAAGCGUACGACUCAUCUCGACAAUUAUAUGAGUUUGUGCAUUCACAGGGCAGUGUAAUCCAUCCCUGAGCUCCAGGAUUGAGCCAACAUUCCUCGACAGCUCAUUAAUUUUCUGGUAAGCCAGGUAACUGCUCAGUCCAAAAAGCAAGAAACCUGACACCAACACCACGAAUAUCCAGACGUUUUCAGAAUCCUCUACAGACAGUUGAGAGAGGCAGAUCAGGUUUCACUGUUUCCAGGAAUCCAUGAUAUACCCAGCUGGAUCUGUCCAAGAGGGGCAUCCGGGAGCCCCUUCUCCCGUUCUCAUCAUUGAAAAAAUGUUGUCAAUCGUGUUGAGAGACCAACUGACCAGGUCCAUUUUUAAUAAUUUCCAGUUUCCGGAAAAAAUGCAGACGAGUAGUCUCAAGGCACUUCACAAACUAAACGUUCCAAUACAGUUCAGGGGUCUCAUUUAUCAAACAUUGCAUAGAAUCCUUACUAAAACCGUACUUAAGCUCAGCAAAAAAAAAACAUGUAAUUCUGCCAAGUAGGUUUGUGAUUUAUCAAACAUGGAGUACGCACAGCUGCACGCUCUGCUUCAUAAGGAAUAUCUAGGGGUGUACCUCGACGAUAAUUUAAACUGGAAAAGGAAUAGUGAAGCUGUUGUUAAAAAGGCCCAGUCCAGAUUGUUUUUUCUUAGGAAGCUAAGAUCCUUUGAUUUAAGUAGGAGGCUCUUGAAUGUUUUUUAUCAGGGGAUUAUGGCCAGUGUGUUGUUUUAUGCUGUGUUGUGUUGGGGCAGGAGCCUCACUGCUGAGGACAAAAACAGGAUCAACAAAAUGAUCAAGAAAUCUGGCUCAGUGGUUGGGCAAAGCUUGGACUCCUUUGACAUGAUCAUCGACAAAAGGAUGAAGAGUAAACUUAAGACAGUUAUGUCUCUGGAGGAUCACCUCCCUUCACCAGAUUUUUAAGGAUCUCGGGAGCUCUUUUAGUGGGCGAUUGGUAAUGCCCCGUUGUUCCACUGAACGUUUUAGGAACUCUUUUAUUCCUGCUGCAGUGCGUUUUUACAACGAGCAUUUUGUAUGGUUGUAUGUUUGAUAUUUUUAUCAUGGUUGUGGCUUAUAGCAGUGUCCAGUGAAUGUUUUGUUGUGUGUAUGUGCAUGUUGUUGUUGUUUUUUACUUGUCCAAGGCAAUUCAAUUCCCCCUUGGGGAUUAAUAAAGACAACCUUGAACCUUGAAUAAAUCGGAGACUAACAAGAAUGUUUCUCAGCUGUAUUUUAGUCACAUCCCGCCCUCACCACGCCCACUUACUGCCAUAAAUAGUUAAUGCAAAGUGCCUUGUGGAUCUCAUGCAUAUACAUAAGCCGGCUGUUGUAGUGCUCCGCCAAUGACAUGGCGACCGCAGAUCAAGGAAGUGCAAUUUCACAGAAGCAGAAAUUGAGGUACCUGUGGGUGAGGUGGAGAAAUGAAAGGAAGUACCUUUGCAAAACAAAUAAGAGAAAAUCCAUGGAGUGGUACAGCGUUGCUGAAGCCGUCAAUGUUGUGAAUUCUUCAGAGAGAUCUGUGGCGGAUAUAAAAAAAUGGUCCAACUGGGAUUCAAUCCCCAGACUCCCAGGUGAAAGUCACGCGCGCUAACCAGUCAGCCAAACAAAGAUCUCCCCUGUUCAACUAGCCAGGGCGCAUGAUCAAUUGGGUCACAGUGAUAGGACACACUGUCACAGAUGCAUGACAUUCUGUCUCAAUCUGUCCCCCUGCCGAUAUUCUGCAUUCCGUAUCCUGCGCUUCAGGCUGUGUGUGUGUGUGAGUGUGCGCACAUGUGCAUGUAUGUGCGCGUGUGCGUGUACCACGUAGUGUUUCCUUGGCUACAUUAUGAUUACUGAUAAGCUUUAUUGUCUAUCUUAGUGAAUCUAUAAUUAGUUCAACAGGUAAACUAGUAAUAGCACAUUCCAUAUCAAAGAAAGUAAAAUGUUAUUAUCAGGAGAGGGAGAAUGUUUAAGUGGUUAGCAGCAGUGUGCAAGCCGAUGACGCCCUCCAUGAGGUCACCACAGCUCAACAGAACAUUAUUGUAGCUUCUUCUGAGGAGAAAAACACUUAGAGAUAAAAUAAAGUUAACCGCUGAAAUAGCAGGAAAUAAUGCAGUUAAAGAGCAGAUUGUAUAAGAAAGUAGUAGAGUGUGGAAAGUGGUCAGUGUGUCCUCCAGCAGUCUAAGCCUAUAGCAGCAUAACUACAGAGAUAACUCAGGAUAACCUAGCCUUUUAGAUGGAGGCAUGUUGGAGGCAGGGCAAGGGAGAGCCGUCUUUACCGACUGUACACUCCACCUCCCUCUACUCCCCCACUUAUCCAGAUCUAGGCUAUCAUCAGAUUUUAACCAUAGGCCCUAUCAAGUUAAAAUGUCUUAAAAGUAGAUAAUGUGUCUGCUUCACGGACUAAAGCUGGGAGUUGGUUCCACAGGAGGGGAGCCUGAUAGCUAAAAGAGCUGCCUCCCAUCCUAUUUUUAGAUAUUCUGGGAACCACUAGUACACCUGCAGUCUGAGAGCGAAGUGCUCGGUUAGGAACAUUUGGAACAAUCAGGUCACUGAUGUAUGAUGGAGCUUGAUUAUUAAGAGCUUUAUAUGUGAGAAGGAGGAUCUUAAAAUCUAUUCUGAAUUUAACAGGCAGCCAAUGUAGGGAAGCUAAGACAGGAGAGAUAUGAUCUCUAUUUUAAUUCUCAUCAGAACUCUAGCUGCAGCAUUUUGGAAAAGCUGAAGACUUUUAACUACAUUCUGUGGACUUCCUGAGAGUAAUGAAUUACAGUAAUCCAGUCUUGAUAUAAUAAAUGCAUGAACUAGUUUUUCAGCAUCACUCCUGGAAUGGAUGCUUCUAAUCUUAGCAAUAUUCCAAAGGUGGAAGAAGGAAAUCCUACAAACCUGUUUAACGUGGGAUUUGAAUGACAUGUCCUGGUCAAAGAUAACACCAAGGUUCCUUACUUUGUUCUCAGAGACUAACUUAAGGCCGUUCAGAUCAGGUGAUUGACUAAGCAGUUUCCUUUUCUGAAGUUUUGGUCCAAAGAUGAGAACUUCAGUCUUGUCUUGAUUUAAAAUGAGAAAGUUUAGAGUCAUCCAAUUUCUUAUGUCUUCAAGGCAAGCCUGUAAUCUACCUAACCGAUUAGGUUCAUCAUUUCUGUUGGGACUAAGAAAUAAAAUGAGCUGAUAUACCUGGCGUUGCAGUCUGGCUCCAGUAUGUUUUCUACAUGUUUUUUUUUAUCUUUUAUUUCAUUCACAAUGUAUAAAAUAAACACAAACGAAUACAACAUACAUUAACAUAUUGAAAAAAAACAUUUGAAUGAAAAGGAGCAGAUAGAAGAAAAAAUCUUAUGAUUUCUGCCCCUUUUUACAAAAUAAAAUUAUCCGCCAAACAAACACAGUAUAACCUCAGUCACUUUCUAAUAUUUUCAUGUCUAAUCUUUGACAUUAUAAUUCUCCUUUUCACAAUUACUAAAUACAUUAGAUUUUAUACAUUUUUUAAAUAUAGCAAGUGUAGUUGAUUCUUUAAAUUCCUUGUUAAUGGCAUUCCACAAUCUUACACCAUUUACAGAAAUGUUACAUUCCCUCACUUUGGUUCUGAAUCUAGUUUUGUUAAAGACAUCAGUUCCUUUUAACAUGUACCCACUUACUCUCUUAUGAGACAUUUUCUGAAUAUUAGUUGGUAGAUUACUCGUAUUCGCUCUGUACAUUAUUUGCAAUAUUUUCCACUCUACCAAGUCAGGAAAUUUCAGUAUUUUGUAUCUAAUGAAUAAUUGAUUAGUGUGAUCUCUAUAGUUACUGUUUUAGAUCAUGAGCACAGCCGAUUUGUUUAAUUUAGUGAUGAAUCACUCCUGUGGAUACUAAGGAAGGCUGGGUAUCGCGUCAGACGCGUGCCACAACCCGUGCACGCGGAUUGGGUCCACAGCGCGCGUGUGAACGGGACUCGCGAGCGAAAAUAUACAUGGCGAGAGGUCAUUUGUGCACUGAGAGGGAGCAAACUGUGUCUGUGAGCGCACAAGGAUGUGCACAAGUGACAAACCUGCGUGCGCGCCUUGUCAACGAGCACACGGCAGAGGAAAACGUGCGCGCGCGGCAGCCUCUGUGCGCGCUCGGCAGCCUCUCUGCACGCUCGGUUUCUGACUCCUGCUCGCUCGGCUGUAAGGGCUUUUGGCACUCUGGAGGCGUGGCCUGUGGCAGAUCUUCUCUGUCCUCUGAUUGGUUAGUGUACCCCGUACUUUACCCUCUAUCUAUCUAUAUAAAAAAGUCUGAUAUUCAGUAGUUGCUGGCAUAGCUCAGCUGGGAGAGCGGGUGAUUCCCCCCUCGGAGGAUACUGGUUCGAGUCCGGGUAAGGAAAAUGCAGUAGAUGUCAUGUUAAUUUUUCUUAAUUCCAGGUAUUUUACAGUUGUGACCGUUCAACUGUCAUUAAACGUCCGAAUGUUUGCUGGGCAGUGUUUUAAAAAGUGCACAUAAGCUAGAUGUUUUAACCAUAUAAAAUUACAUUUUUGUGAUACUGGAAAAAUACAUACUGAGAUUGAAAACUUUAUGACUGUGGUUGUACAAUAUAUGACUCACUAAUACACUGCAAACUCCCUUAGAGUGGGGCUUCCAGAGAGAGAGAGAGAGAGAAAAGUUCUUGCCUCAUUAAUGAAUUGUUUAUUUUUUUCAGUAUUUAAUUGACAAAUUAUCCUUUCAAAUAAUUAAUUGAUGAGUUACAUAAUUGUCCAUUUAGAAUUGUUGAAUGGACUGAGUCAAGUUUGGUGCACUUUAUAUAUUUCAAAACAUGUUUUUUUUAUUUUAAUGAUGCAUAUAAAUAAUUUAAAUGUUAAUUUAAUGAAAUAUUUCUAUUUUUUCAUUACCUCACCCUUGUUUUGACAAAAACGGGACCUUGCUGGAUAAUAUCAUGGAGAAACUAUUUGUUCACAGUACAUGGCUCAGUGAGGAUCUGUGUACCAAAGGAGGAGAUACUCAGAAAUCUGUCUGCAGAUUGUUACAACCCAGACUGGAAGUGGUGGGCUGUAAUAAGAAAGGAGACCAAACAGAGGAGUGGGGGUUCAACAACUGAUUUAUUUAACAAAAGUAAGGAUUUACUAAAGCAAGUUAGUGAACAGAAAAUGGCCAGUGAGGAGUCUCCACCACACAGGAGAGACCCAGUGAAAGCAGAAAAACAGUAGGCUUUCUAGGCAGCACCACACCCUGAGCCCAGGUGCCUCCAAGGCUGCUUAACGAGCUGCCUACAACAGAAGAAAAACACAAUUAAACACAAAUGAAAACCCAAUGAGACGGUGGGGGGCAUCACAACACGUUCAGGACUACCCAAACACCAGUAAUUCUUGACUGCACUGAUCUGAGGUGACAAUGGCCAUAUUCCCCUCUCUUCCAGAGUCAUAUAUUUUCCUCAAGUUCAACUGCACUCUGAAGAGGCUCAUUUGGAUUGUGCCACAUAGGCCAGUGACCUUUGUCUCAGCACUGUAUGCUGGAACUAUCAGCGACCAACCUGGGAAUCUGGUGUGUUGAAAAUGCUACAACUAGAGAUGGUCAUCAUGGUAGACAGGGGUUUCUUCAUUGAUGACAUUGUGCCCUGCAAAGUGUACAGGCCAGCUUUCCUUUCUGGCAAACCUCAAAUGUCUGCAUGUAAAGUUAUAGAAACAGAAGCCAUAACAUCUCUGAGUGCAUGUGGAGCGCUCCAUUCAUCUGGUCCAAGAACACAAGCUUUUUGAUUGUUAUUCCCCUCCUUGCAUUUGUAAACAAUCAGCUAUAUGCUGUGGUUUUUCUCCUUACCAACUUUUAAAAUAGCCCACUAGUGAAGGCCUGGGCAAAGAAGCCUGAUGUCUGAGAACCUCAACAUAUGUACGGCAACCACACUGUAUAUUUACACACUUUCAUAAAGAAACUGCAUAUCAAGCUUUCAUUCAGAUGACCUUCAACAGUGCUGCACCCUGCUGAGGGACAUCCGAGUAAAACCUUGAGAUGGCCAUUUUCUGUUCACUAACUUGCUUUAGUAAAUCCUUACUUUUGUUAAAUAAAUCAGUUGUUGAACCCCCACUCCUCUGUUUGGUCUCCUUUCUUAUUACAGCCCACCACUUCCAGUCUGGGUUGUAACAAUCUGCAGACAGAUUUCUGAGUAUCUCCUCCUUUGGUACACAGAUCCUCACUGAGCCAUGUACUGUGAACAAAUAGUUUCUCCAUGAUAUUAUCCAGCAAGGUCCCGUUUUUGUCAAAACAAGGGUGAGGUAAUGAAAAAAUAGAAAUAUUUCAUUAAAUUAACAUUUAAAUUAUUUAUAUGCAUCAUUAAAAUAAAAAAAAACAUGUUUUGAAAUAUAUAAAGUGCACCAAACUUGACUCAGUCCAUUCAACAAUUCUAAAUGGACAAUUAUGUAACUCAUCAAUUAAUUAUUUGAAAGGAUAAUUUGUCAAUUAAAUACUGAAAAAAAUAAACAAUUCAUUAAUGAGGCAAGAACUUCUCUCUCUCUCUCUCUCUCUCUCUCUCUCUCUCUCUCUCUCUCUCUCUCUCUCUCUCUCUCUCUCUCUCUCUCUCUCUCUCUCUCUCUGGAAGCCCCACUCUAAGGGAGUUUGCAGUGUAUUAGUGAGUCAUAUAUUGUACAACCACAGUCAUAAAGUUUUCAAUCUCAGUAUGUAUUUUUCCAGUAUCACAAAAAUGUAAUUUUAUAUGGUUAAAACCAUCUAGCUUAUGUGCACUUUUUAAAACACUGCCCAGCAAACAUUCGGACGUUUAAUGACAGUUGAACGGUCACAACUGUAAAAUACCUGAAAUUAAGAAAAAUUAACAUGACAUCUACUGCAUUUUCCUUGCCCGGACUCAAACCUGGAUCCUCCGGGGGGAGAGUCACCCGCUCUCCCAGCUGAGCUAUGCCAGCAACUACUGAA
This is a long non-coding RNA of Nothobranchius furzeri (turquoise killifish), 9442 nucleotides long. RefSeq lists it as uncharacterized. NCBI's taxonomy places the organism in Eukaryota, Metazoa, Chordata, Actinopteri, Cyprinodontiformes, Nothobranchiidae. The record is from RefSeq and is a predicted model, not a curated record.